RNAcentral lists this long non-coding RNA (944 nucleotides) under Mytilus galloprovincialis (Mediterranean mussel). The record is from RNAcentral. Lineage: Eukaryota; Metazoa; Mollusca; Bivalvia; Mytilida; Mytilidae.
ACAAUUUCAGUAUAAAAACAUCUGAAUUUGUUUUAUAUCACCCCGGGAACUGCAGCGGAGGAGGUAUUAAGUGUUACUCCUGUCCGUCCGUGAGUACGUAUACGAACGUUCCAACAAUAAGUUUCCGUUCUCUAAUUUUAUUUUGCCUCAACCAAAUUUUAUGAAACGCAAUACCAUAAUACACAGAUCAAGUAGGAAUUUGGGUGACGUCACUUUUACUAUGCUUGAGUAAUGACUCUUUAUAACGUUAUAUGCAAGCUGGGGCAUUAUCUGUGUCCAAUGGACACGUUCCCCGUUUAUUUGGUUAGAUUCAGUAAUUCACAGAAGGUCUGAGUAAAAUUUUACAUUUAAAAUAAUUAUCUACAUGGAAAUCAAGCAGUUGGAUUGUUUGGCAAUGUGGUUAGAGCUCAGAUAGACAGGUUAAUAGCUGUGACGGAGCUUGAAGAGAGCGUAGAAAACAAUAAAAACAAGUGAAACUGCGAGCUACUGCUCACUGAUGAUACCCCCGCCGCAAGUGGAUAAUAUUAAUAAUGUAAAAAUAUGCAAGUGUUCGGUAAACAGGAAGUUGUCGAGUGAUGAAUCUGAAAACGCAUCACACGGUAUAGCUGACUUAUAUAAAUCCUGAAACCAAAUUUCAGAAAUCCUUGUAUUGUAGUUCCUGAGAAAAAUGUGACGAAAAUUUUCAACUUGGCUAUCAUGUGUAAAAUCAUACAAGUGUUCGGUAAACAGGAAGUUGUCAAGUGAUCAAUCUGAAAACGCAUCACAAGGUAUAGCUGACUUAGAUAAACCCUGAAACCAAAUUUCAGAAAUCCUUGUAUUGUAGUUCCUGAGAAAAAUGCGACGAAAAAUAUUCAUGGGACGGACGGACUGACUGACGGACUGACGGACUGACGGAAGGACAGACAGAGGUAAAACAGUAUACCCCCCUUUUUUAAAGCGGGGGU